Long non-coding RNA from Megachile rotundata (alfalfa leafcutting bee), 1746 nucleotides. The record is from RefSeq and is a predicted model, not a curated record. Lineage: Eukaryota; Metazoa; Arthropoda; Insecta; Hymenoptera; Megachilidae.
GAAACAGUUUCAGUACUUAAUCUGAAGGGAUACAUGUUCUUUGUCUACUAAUGUGGACCAUCAAUAAAUAGCAAGUCCCUUCCUCUAAAAGAGUUUGAAUGGAAGAAUAACUCGUGACAAGGGGAAUCGAAUACCCAUCGCUAGAGCCAAAGAGACAACCCGACCCCUCGUCCCUCGGCAGAAUACUUGAAUAUUGAUUAAGCAUGCACAUCGCGAUUACUGGAAGCAGGUAAAAGCGCUCCUGGUUGGGCUGCGUGUCUGCGGAUAUUUAUACGGGACGUUGUCUCUGUCCCACUGCAACAGGAAAGUCUCAAAGACCGUGGUCCUAACCGUGACUCGUUUAAAGAAACCUCGCUUUAAAAACUUCGAUAAAAAUUGUACUCGCGUUUCCUUAACUUCGUUUAUUUACCAGGUCACUUUGUCGUGCAAAAAAUUAUUACGAGCAAGAAAAAUGAUGUUAGAAGUUAACUCGUCAUUAGAACAUCCGAUCGAUCAGAAUUAACCGUUCCACCUGAUGGUACCUCUCCACGAAACGAUCGAAUCUAUUCUUCGACUUCUAAAACCAUUAUCCACGGCGUAAGAACCGACCAGACUGCAUGCUAUUUGGUUUACGAUCAGCUUUUCAAGGAUCAACCUUCUCGACUCAUUGUUCCGCCGCGGUCUGGCCUACUUCCAGAAUGAUCAGCCGAGUGGCGGAGAGCUCGUUCCUGUUUUCAGCGUGGAAUUUAGUUUCCUUUGUCGCACUGUUACGUCUGGAGAUCCACUCGAGGACCUAGCUAACUUUUUCGUUCAAACGGAACGCGUAUCGUCACAUAUUCUUUGAAAACCUUGUUCGAUAUUGCUAACAGAGCGGUGACAUCGUUUAAAACGUUACGAAAUACCAUCAGAAGCGAAGACAAAAGGAAGCUCUUGUUGUUGAGUGAUAGCAGUAAGCUCGUUGCGUAGCUUUCGAGAUGUCACCGACAGUUUGAAGUCUAAAUCCAGCCAAUUCUCUGGACCAACUCUGCGUGAAAAAAGUUUUUCACGACCAAGCCUGUACGCGGAGGCGUAGACUAGCAACCAUGUGGCCAACUAGCCGUUGACUUCCUCGUUCUUGACCACGAUCAACCACCACUCGACACCGGGUUUACGAUGAAAAAAAGCGACGUAGAACAAAAGGGAGGAGAGAAGCCCUCGAGUUUUUGAAUAUUCAGUAGGUACAUCCUGGUCGACUUCCACCUGACUCUCUUUCAGCGGGGAAAAAUCGGCACGUUCCGGGUCGUAUACGGGCCAAGACAUGCCGACACCGACGCUGAUACAACUUUUAAUUACUUUCCGGAGAAAUAAAACGCCCCCAGAGGUGGUUGACUUUCAUCACGUGGAUCAAGAUAGAUCGCUUACAGAAAGAUGUUCACAGUUUCGUUUACCGACAGAUAUUGGGCAAUUUUAUCAACUGCGGAUACGCAGGAUGGUCGUGAAAUCUUCUUUAUCGAUGGGGGACAUUUAUACCGACAGAAGAUAAUAAUGGCACAUAAAUCUAUCGGUAAUGUCAACUGAAAUCUUCUUUAUCGAUGGGGGACAUUUAUACCGACAGAAAUUAAUAAUGGCACAUAAAUCUAUCGGUAAUGUGGACUGAAAUCUUCCUUGUCGACACAGAGAUAUUUUUAGCGUUCGUCCUUAUCGACGCUCGAUAUCUUACCGACAGAGAACUCUGCCUCGUGUUUAUCAACGCAAGCUCAAAAAAAAGAAGUAACAGCUUUGAAUAGA